RNAcentral lists this ribosomal RNA (338 nucleotides) under uncultured Anaerolineaceae bacterium. RNAcentral's name for it is "bacterial SSU rRNA". It matches the Rfam family "Bacterial small subunit ribosomal RNA", at positions 1029 to 1382 of the family's 1533-position model. Lineage: Bacteria; Bacillati; Chloroflexota; Anaerolineae; Anaerolineales; Anaerolineaceae. The record is from RNAcentral.
CCUAUACAGGUGUUGCAUGGCUGUCGUCAGCUCGUGUCGUGAGAUGUUCGGUUAAGUCCGCUAACGAGCGCAACCCUCGUCGUAUGUUAUAUGUGUCAUACGAGACUGCCGGUAAAAGCCGGAGGAAGGUGAGGAUGAUGUCAAGUCAGCAUGACCUUUAUAUCCAGGGCUACACACACGCUACAAUGGUCUGUACAAUGGGUAGCCAAGCCGCGAGGCGGAGCCAAUCCUGAAAGCAGGCCUCAGUUCAGAUUGCAGUCUGCAACUCGACUGCAUGAAGCCGGAGUUGCUAGUAACCGCAGGUCAGCAAUACUGCGGUGAAUACGUUCCCGGGUCUU